UCAAGGAAACUCCAAGUCAAAUUAAAAUCAUCCAUCAUAUAACAUCACAUAAUACAUCUCCCAGGUUUACAUAACACAAUAACUCAUCUCAUAAAUACAUUUCCUUACAUAGGAAUAUAGCAAGAACGGACAUAAUUGCAAAAUAAAACAAUGGCACAUCUGCUAACAAUGGAGUUCAUUCCACUCUCCUAUGAAACAUAGGUUCAGAAAUUUUUAUGUUGUGUUGAUUUGAAUGUCCAAAGUAGGCAUCAUCGACAUCUUCUCAUCACUUUCCUAGCAAGAGAAGAAGAGACAAAACAAAAAACAUUAGACCGGAUAGGAGCUUCAGUAGCAGAGCAAACCAAAUUGAAUCAAACAUAGACCGACAUUUGCAUAUGGAUAUUUUUG
This 387-nucleotide long non-coding RNA is filed under the name Hordeum vulgare. RNAcentral describes it as "long non-coding RNA (HVUL_LNC020900)". Lineage: Eukaryota; Viridiplantae; Streptophyta; Magnoliopsida; Poales; Poaceae. The record is from RNAcentral.